Molecule: ribosomal RNA, 460 nt
Filed under: uncultured bacterium
Lineage: Bacteria
Description: partial 16S ribosomal RNA
Rfam family: Bacterial small subunit ribosomal RNA
Source: RNAcentral
CCUACGGGAGGCAGCAGUGAGGAAUCUUGGUCAAUGGACGAGAGUCUGAACCAGCCAAGUAGCGUGAAGGAUGACUGCCCUAUGGGUUGUAAACUUCUUUUAUAUGGGAAUAAAAUGUUCCACGUGUGGGACUUUGUAUGUACCAUAUUAAUAUGGAUCGGCUAACUCCGUGCCAGCAGCCGCGGUAAUACGGAGGAUCCGAGCGUUAUCCGGAUUUAUUGGGUUUAAAGGGAGCGUAGGUGGAUUGUUAAGUCAGUUGUGAAAGUUUGCGGCUCAACCGGAGAAUUGCAGUUGAAACUGGCGAUCUUGAGUACAGUAGAGGUGAGCGGAAUUCGUGGUGUAGCGGUGGAAUGCGUAGAUAUAACGAAGAACUCCGAUUGCGAAGGCAGCUCACUGGACUGCAACUGACACUGAGGCUCGAAAGUGUGGGUAUCGAACAGGAUUAGAUACCCGUGUAGUC